AUUGCAGUCAGAACUCAACAUGGACAUGAGGGCCCAUGCUCAGUUUAUUGGGUUAUUGUGGCUCUGGUUUGCAGGUGCCAGAUGCGACAUCCAGAUGACCCAGUCUCCAUCCUCCAUGUCUGCAUCUCUGGGAGACAGAGUCACUAUUACUUGCCGGGCAAGUCAAGACAUUGGAAAUUAUUUAAGCUGGUUCCAACAGAAACCAGGGAAAUCUCCUAGGCGUAUGAUCUAUGAUGCAACCAACUUGGCAGAUGGGGUCCCAUCAAGGUUCAGUGGCAGUAGGUCUGGGUCAGAUUAUUCUCUCACCAUCAGCAGCCUGGAGUCUGAAGAUAUGGCAGACUAUUACUGUCUACAGUCUAUACAGUAUCCUCCCACAGUGAUACAAAUGAUAACAUAAACCCCAAGGAAGCAGAAGUGA
RNA transcript from Rattus rattus (black rat), 418 nucleotides. It is a transcript of the gene named Ig kappa chain V-V region L6-like, with no coding region annotated. The transcript is spliced from 2 exons. The record is from RefSeq and is a predicted model, not a curated record. Lineage: Eukaryota; Metazoa; Chordata; Mammalia; Rodentia; Muridae.